UGCAGUCGAGCGGACAGAUGGGAGCUUGCUCCCUGAUGUUAGCGGCGGACGGGUGAGUAACACGUGGGUAACCUGCCUGUAAGACUGGGAUAACUCCGGGAAACCGGGGCUAAUACCGGAUGCUUGAUUGAACCGCAUGGUUCAAUUAUAAAAGGUGGCUUUUAGCUACCACUUACAGAUGGACCCGCGGCGCAUUAGCUAGUUGGUGAGGUAACGGCUCACCAAGGCAACGAUGCGUAGCCGACCUGAGAGGGUGAUCGGCCACACUGGGACUGAGACACGGCCCAGACUCCUACGGGAGGCAGCAGUAGGGAAUCUUCCGCAAUGGACGAAAGUCUGACGGAGCAACGCCGCGUGAGUGAUGAAGGUUUUCGGAUCGUAAAACUCUGUUGUUAGGGAAGAACAAGUACCGUUCGAAUAGGGCGGUACCUUGACGGUACCUAACCAGAAAGCCACGGCUAACUACGUGCCAGCAGCCGCGGUAAUACGUAGGUGGCAAGCGUUGUCCGGAAUUAUUGGGCGUAAAGCGCGCGCAGGCGGUUUCUUAAGUCUGAUGUGAAAGCCCCCGGCUCAACCGGGGAGGGUCAUUGGAAACUGGGGAACUUGAGUGCAGAAGAGGAGAGUGGAAUUCCACGUGUAGCGGUGAAAUGCGUAGAGAUGUGGAGGAACACCAGUGGCGAAGGCGACUCUCUGGUCUGUAACUGACGCUGAGGCGCGAAAGCGUG
This 725-nucleotide ribosomal RNA is filed under the name Bacillus licheniformis. RNAcentral's name for it is "bacterial SSU rRNA". It matches the Rfam family "Bacterial small subunit ribosomal RNA", at positions 56 to 763 of the family's 1533-position model. RNAcentral also lists the same sequence under 1 other name. The record is from RNAcentral. Lineage: Bacteria; Bacillati; Bacillota; Bacilli; Caryophanales; Bacillaceae.